UUUGAUGCAUCGUCGUGCGGACCAAAUCGCGUGUCCUUGAAUGAUUGUUUAGAGAUAGGGCCAUGCUUGCUCCCUGACCUGGUAGAAGUGCUUCUAAGGUUUAGGAGGUGGCCUGUGGCUGUGACAGGUGACAUCACAAAGGCCUUUCCGCAGAUAUCCCUCUGCAAAGAGGAUCAGGACACACACAGGUUUCUGUGGGAGCGUGACGGGGUUGUGCGCAUGAUGAGGGCACAGAGAGUGAUUUUCGGUGUGUGCAGCUCUCCAUUUCUAUUGAACGCGACCAUACGCCACCACCUGUCUCACUACCCAGACUCUGCAGUGAUCACAGAAAUGCGUGAAAACUUCUAUGUAGACGACCUGCUGUCAGGAGCAGACACAGAGCAGGAGGCCGCCGAGCUUCUGUCAAAGGCUCAGGAGGUGAUGUCACACGCCGGUAUGACGCUCACUAAGUGUAAGACGAAUAGCCCAGUGCUGUUCGAAAAGGCUCAGACUGUGAUGGGGACAGGUCUGAACGAGAGCUGCAAAGUACUUGGUGUGAUGUGGCAGCCCACAGAUGAUGUGUUUACGUUUCAGGGCGUAACACUGCCUGAUGAUAUCGUGCCCACGAAGCGAGUUGUGCUCAGUUUUGUAGCUCGUAUGUUUGACCCUCUCGGCUUCGUCGGCCCGUUUGUGAUGACCUUGAAAUGUUUGUUUCAAGAGCUCUGGCACUUGGGUCUACACUGGGACGAGCCGCUUCCUGAGAUCUUCUCUGAGACCUUCAGUCGGUGGCUGAGGAAGCUGGAGCUGUUGAAAGAGUUCCAAGUGCCGCGCCGCUACUUCGAGAGGGCGUGGAAGGGCACCUAGCGAGUGGAGCUGCUGGCUUUCUGCGAUGCCUCGCCAAAAGGUGGCUCUCCAGCCCAACAGGUCAACCUGUCGCAGCUGCGGAGCCGGAGCCAGAGGCGCCACGGCUACUGGGUGAGGAGGCUGUUCUGACAGCAGCUACUCCGGCCCCGUGUUCGCUCGACUUCCAGCGCUGUGGAUCCUUCUCCAAGGCGGUGCGCGUCACGGCCUGGGUGAGGAGGUUCAUUCGGAACGCCAGGACGCCUGGUGCAGGCGCUCGAGGUAAGGGGCCCAGAACGCGGCAGAGUGCCGCUAAACGGCUUCAGCUGGAGUUAGACCCUGACGAGAUUGUGCAAGCGAGACGUCAGCUGCUAGUCCUGGUACAGGGUGAGGCCUACCCGGACGAGCUGAGAGCGCUGCGAUCGGGCAGAGACGUCGCGAAAGGGUCGUGCCUGUACCGUCUCGUGCCAUUUGUUGAUGAUGACGGACUGAUCAGGGUGAACAGCAGACUGCAGAUGUCUGAUCUGUCCUACGACGAGGUUCAUCCCGUCGUUCUGCCGACCUGUAACGUGUUUGGAGCUACUAGUCCGUGAGCAGCACUUGCUGAUACGACACGCUGGCGUGUCUGCCCUGAUCAGCUCACUCAGAGGGUCGUAUUGGAUUUUCGGACUGCGACGCCUCGCAAAGAGAGUGAAAAGGGGAUGUGUUCCAUGUCAAAGGCAGGAUACUCGAGCAUGCAACGCGCCAGUGGCGCCGCUUCCGAAGUCGAGGGUGACUGAGGCACCCCCGUUUGCUGUCCCCGCAUAGACUUCGCAGGGCCGGUGUUCUGUGUAGAUGAGCCGCGCAAAAAGUUGUACGUGUGCCUGUUCACAUGUGCGGUAACCAGGGCAGUGCAUGUAGAGCUGGUAGACUCCCUGUCUUUAGAUGACUUCAUGCUGGCGCUCAGGCGUUUUGCAGCCAGGAGGGGAAUGCCCACUGAGAUUUACUCCGAUAAUGCUGCGACGCUGAAAGGCGCUGAUUCUCUCUUGCAGAGACAGUUCGGACAUUUGGCACCGGCGUGGAAGUUUAUCGUUCCACUAUCCCCCUGGUGGGGAGGAUGGUGGGAAAGACUGAUUAGGUCGGUUAAGUCGGGACUGAGAAAGGCGCUAGGUAAGCGCUGCCUGACGAGGAUUGAGUUGGAGACGCUUCUCAGCGAGGUCGAGUCCUGCAUAAACUCGCAUCCAUUGGUCUAUGCUGGUGAUGAUGCGGAUGCGACCGAACCCUUGACUCCCAGUCACUUUCUGAUAGGCAAGGGGUCCGGCUUUCAGCCGGGAGAGCAGUUAGAUCCAGCUGCAGCAGCGCGACAGUCGCUGCCGGCUCGCGCCAGACUUCGUAAGGAGCGCAUGGAUCGGUUUUGGGAAGUUUGGUCGUCCGCCUACUUGCGCCAGUUACCCACUUCCGUUCGCCAAUUCUGCCAUCACGGUAGCUUGAGGGUAGGCUCAGUCGUUUUGAUUCAUGAAUCAUGAGAAGAACGUUCCGCGCUUAAUGUGGCCGGUUGGUGUGGUUGUGCGGCUGUAUAAAGGGUCUGAUGGUGUCGUACGAUCCGCGGACCUACGUACUGCGAAGGGUGUCCGUACUCGCGCGAUUCAGUGUCUCCACGAUCUAGAGUGCGAUUAGAGAGUGGAGCGUCUGGUUAGGCUUUCAGACAGAGUCGUCUCUCUUUCGUUGUAGUUAAGUGUAUCCUUGUGUGUGUAUACUGACCGGGUUUGUUGAUCAGUUGUUUGC
This 2583-nucleotide long non-coding RNA is filed under the name Amphibalanus amphitrite. RNAcentral describes it as "uncharacterized LOC122368078". Lineage: Eukaryota; Metazoa; Arthropoda; Thecostraca; Balanomorpha; Balanidae. The record is from RNAcentral.